GAUGAAGAACGUAGUGAAAUGCGAUAAGUAAUGUGAAUUGCAGAAUUCAGUGAAUCAUCGAAUCUUUGAACGCACCUUGCGCUCCUUGGUAUUCCGAGGAGCAUGCCUGUUUGAGUGUCAUUAAAUUCUCAACCAUUAUCAACUUUUGCUGAUAAUGGCUUGGAUGUGGGGGUCUAUUUUGCUGGCUUCUCAGAUAGUCAGCUCCCCUUAAAUGCAUUAGCCGGUGCCCCGCGUGGACUGUCUAUUGGUGUGAUAAUUAUCUACGCUAUGGACAUCUGCAAUCAUAUGGGUUUGCGCUGCUUCUAACAGUCUGUUGAUUCAGACAAUACAUGACAAUUUGACCUCAAAUCAGGUAGGACUACCCGCUGAACUUAAGCAUAUCAAUAAGCGGAGGA
This 395-nucleotide unclassified non-coding RNA is filed under the name soil metagenome. RNAcentral's name for it is "partial contains 5.8S ribosomal RNA, internal transcribed spacer 2, and large subunit ribosomal RNA". The stretch from base 1 to 120 matches the Rfam family "5.8S ribosomal RNA", at positions 35 to 154 of the family's 154-position model. The record is from RNAcentral.